RNAcentral lists this long non-coding RNA (244 nucleotides) under Penaeus japonicus. Its description in RNAcentral is "uncharacterized LOC122255000". Lineage: Eukaryota; Metazoa; Arthropoda; Malacostraca; Decapoda; Penaeidae. The record is from RNAcentral.
GAAUUCAACGUUGUUGGUAGUGAAUCAGUCCUUCGAUCCUUGUGAGUUUGUCGACGUUGACAGUGUUAGUGGCACAGCAACUGUGGUUAAUAGAUGCAGUAGUGGAAGCGUGCUCUGGUGAAAGCAGGCGACGCCGAAGGGCUGCAGACCGCCCUCGGCUCCCUAUCUGCAGGCGCCCUCUCGACUUUCUUGGGUGACACGGAUUUGUUUGGUUGGACUCCCUUACACUGGGCUUCACUGAACG